Leopardus geoffroyi (Geoffroy's cat) is the source of this 5759-nucleotide long non-coding RNA. RefSeq lists it as uncharacterized. Lineage: Eukaryota; Metazoa; Chordata; Mammalia; Carnivora; Felidae. The record is from RefSeq and is a predicted model, not a curated record. The transcript is spliced from 3 exons.
AGCUGGCACUCUGUUUCUCUCUCUCUCUCCUCUCAAAAAUAAACAUUAAAAAAAAAAAAAAAAAAAGAAUGAUUAUCAAUUCCUAUUCUCCCCUUUGGUGGUCAAAAGAUCUUCAGAUUCCAAACAGAUUUCUCCCCGUGCAGUCAAAUGCAGACAUCAAUCACCAUUUUUCUAUUCUUACAAUAGUUAAAAUACUUAACUGACAUAUCUAAAAAUAUUUAAACUUAAUUUUAACUUUGUCAUUCAUGUGGGAAAUUUGUGAAAAAUAGAAGAGUGACAGAAAUUUAGAUUAACCAGUCAAUAAGUAAAUUUUCUCUCAGUUGAGUGUUGCCAAUGACUUUGUUCUCCCAGGACUUCAUUUGGUAACUUACUUAAAGGACAUAAGUAAAUGAAAUGUGUGAUACUAGUCUGAUACUGGUUUGGACAAAUCAGUUGCAAAUAAAACUCUGGGACUAACUGGCUCAUGAGAUGAGAUGAAAAUUUAUUGAACUGUAGAGGGAGUCGGCUAGGAAAAAAAGCAAGUUAACAUUAAGUUUUCAUACAAAGGCAAGCUCUAAGUGGUAGGAAUUAACUUUUGCUUAAUAUUUAAAUAAAAUAUAAAGUGUAUAUAAUUUUCAACAGUGUACUUGGACUGCUUCUGUAAUAAUAUUUUUUAAGGAGGGGAACAGAAGGAAAUGAAACAGAAGGAAAGAGGAAAUAAAGGGGAAGAAAACAAAGAAGAAGGAUAGAGGAGGAAAAGCAGGGGAAGGAAAAGGAAAAGGGGAAGGGAAAGAAAGGGAAGGGAAAUGAAGGAAAGUAGGACAUACAUGGCUUCAGAAUUAGACCUGGGUUCAAUUCUUGACUGUACUAUUUAAGAGAUGUGUGACUAUGGGCAAGUUACUUCAAUUCUUUAAACCUCAGUUUCUAGAGAAUAUCACCUGUGUUAUAAAAAUGUUUAUAGGUGAGCCUCAGUGGCUCAAGUCAGUUAAACAUCUGACUCUUGAUAUCGGCUCAUGAGAUCAGGUCAUGAUCUCAUGGCUCCUGGGAUCGAGCCCCCAAGUUGGGGGCUCUGUGCUGACAGCGCAGAACCUGCUCAGGAUUCUCUCUCACCUCUCUCUGCCCCUUCCCUGGCUCACGCACUCCUGCGCGCGUGCGUUCUCUCUCUCUCUCUCUCUCUCAAAAUAACUUUUUUUUUUUUAAAUGUUUAAAAUGUUUAUAAGGAUUCAGGAUGCCUGGGUGGCUCAGUCAGUUGAACACCUGACUUCAGCUCAGGUCACGAUCUCAUGGUUCGUGAGUUCAAGCCCAGAGCCCUGCUUCGGUGAACACAAGCCCCAAUUAGGGUGAGCCCUGCUUCUCUCUGUCCCUCGUGGGAUUCUCAUUCAUUCAUUCUCUCUCUCUCUCUCUCUCUCUCUCCCCCCCCCACCCCGUUUUUUGCUCACUUGCACACUCUCUCUCAAAAAAAAAAAAAAUACAUUUAUAAGGAUUCAAGGAAAUAAUAAGGUACCUAAUAUACACUAACACACUAAGAAUUCAUUAAAUAUUAGUCAUCUUGGAGCACCUGGGUGGCUCAGUUGGCUAAGCAACUGACUUUGGCUCAGGUCAUGAUCUCAUGGUUCGUGAGUUUGAGCCCCACACUGGGUUCUGUGCUGACAGCUCAGAGCCUGCCUCGGAUCCUCUGCCCCCCUCUUUCUGCCCCUCCACUGCUUAUGCUCUGUCCCUCUCAAAAAUAAACAUUAAAAAAGAAUAUAUAUUAAUCAUCUUUAUCCACUUCCUUCUCCAUAACUAACAGAAAGUAGGAAAACACAUCUGGCCUCCUGUCCUGAGUGCUUCUGGAAAGUGCAGAGUGGAAGAGAAGUGAGAGCAUCUCUGUCUCCACAGGGUCUUUGGCAAUCCACAUGAGCAGAAAUGGUGAAUAAAAAUGGUACUUACUCUAGACAAAUUAUGUAUUUUUAUGUAGUUUAAAAAGUCAUAAUUCAGUAUUGGUUUAAUCAAAUCAUCCAAGUCACAGGCAUGAUUUUUUGGCCACAAAUCAUUUCACAAAAUCCCUAACUCUGCUGUUGACUAUUCUGAAAGUCAAAAUAGUUGACUAUUUUAAAGUGUCAGUCAACAUCCAAGGCUGACUCUUCCAAAAACCUCCUCCUUGUCAGUAUGAGGCUUUUUAUUCUGUGAAAUAAAAUUCCCAUACUUUUAAAGUCACUUAAAAGUCAAGAGGUCAAUAAACUAUUCCCCCAUAUAAUUCCCUACUACAUACUCCAGAUGAUAGAUGCACAGAAAUAGAAUGUUGCUAUAGUAUGAAGAGAAAAAAAGGGGAUCAGAGUGUAAGUACCUUAAAAGUAUUCCAGAAAAUCUGCUUGCCGACAAUAAAAUCCCCACAGUAAAACAACAGAGGGAGACAGCAGAACUCACUUCAAAUGCUCAAUCCCUAACUUCCGUAGCAGUAACUGGAAGAAAGAGGAACAGAGGGGGAAAGAACCGUUAAUUCUCAGAGGACAAGCAGAACUGCCUCCACCCCUGUAGUUACUUGAAAGUUCUUACUGAGAAAGGAUCGUAGCUCUACACAGAUCUCCUCUAAAAAAGUUUAUUCACUAGAUUUUGAAAAAAGAAAAAAAAAUCUUGAAACCAAGUAAAAAAAACAAAAAAAAAAAAGAAAAAGAAAAAGAAAAAGAAAAAAAGAAAAAGAAACCAAGUACAAACAUUAGAUUCUCAGGUUCUGAAUAACAAAAGAAAAAUCAUCCCCUUCUCUGGGAUUAAAUGCAGCCUGCUGUCUCAAAAUUUGGGAAGUCAUUGUCAUGGCCCUACAAGAUUUAAACUCUCCAAUGGUUUCCACUAAACUCAGAAUUAUAUACAAAAACAUUCUGCCACAACCUCAAAGGGCCUUGAGAUCUGGCUCCUCCCCGCCUCUGCAGUCUCAUUCCCACUAUGCGCAGGCACAAAGCUUUGAUUCCUUCUUUAAACUGUCAAGCUUGUCUUCACCUAUGGGUUUGCACGAUAUUUCCACUGCCUGGAUAGGGCUGGAUCACUAGGUCUUAGUUUAAAUAUAUCUCCUCAAGGAAACCUUUCACUGCCUUAUCUUUUCAUUCUUUAAGGGAAAGGAGUAAAAUUAAGGUAACUAAGAUUUACUGCGUAUCUAAGAAACAUUGGGCAAGCUUUCACGUGACUUCCACUGAAUCUUUACGGCCCAGAGAUAGAUAUUAUUCUUAUAAAUGAGGAAAGCAGAUGCAAAGAUUGAAUACUGGUCCAAGGUCACAUAGGUAAUAUAUAACAAAGCAAAGAUUCGAGCCCAAAGUUGUCAAAUCCCAAACCCACAAUCUUUCUGCUACACUAUACUGCCUCUCCGUUUAAACAGAAACCAUUUUACUGGGAGGAAAUGCUUAAUUAAAUAGAAAGCCACAAAAAGGACUGUAGUUAUUAUGUAAAGAUCUAUAAACUGGCAGUCUGGAUAAUUAACUCUGUAUUCAGAACCUUCAUCUGGUAUCUGUAUUUCUUUUAUAUUGGCAAUUAGCUAACUAGGAUCAUUAAAGGAACAACAGCUAUUUCUCCUGAGACUCAAAGAUUUCAUAAGGUAUAUUCAAAAUGCACUCUUUCUCUUCUAUGCUUUAUACAUUUGUUAUAACUGGUAAAUUAAGUAGUUAAAUUACAGAAUUUCUGAGUUUACUCCAAGGAGUUCAGCUAAUACAUACUCAAAAAUGGCAGUUUUUUGAUUUCCUUCUUUUUUUUUUUUUAAUGAAAAGGCAAGAUUUUUAACACUCUCCAAUUAAGGUUAAUAAAUUGGAACAAUAAUAAGGCAAAAUUAAUUUGAAAAAGCAAUACCCAAGUACUCUGGAAACAUAUCAUAUUUUAUCUUGGUUUCUUGCUGUUUACAUAUAUGCCUAACUUUCUCAACCAGGGCUAUAAAAUUCCAAAAGGCAGGGUCUUUGACCUAUACAUAUCUAUAAUACCUUGCUGUGGAAGACUCAAAAUAUUUUUUAAUGCCAAUUAUUAGAAAAAAGAAAUCAAUUUGCUUUUAUAUCCCCUGUGUUAGGUCUUAAAUAUGUCCACAAAUUCUUUAGUGUUCCUCCCAUUGAAACAUGAAGUCUAAGUCCGCUCCCCUCAAGGGAGAGUUGACUUAGUGACCUCCUUCUAUGGAAAAAAAUAAGGCCUAAGUGACAGUAUAUGAUUUCAAAGUCGAGGUCAUAAAGGGCACUGCAGCUUCAUCCUUGCUCCCUCUUUUGGAUUAUUCAAUAUAGGGUAAACUAGCAGCCACAUCCUGAGAACACUCAAACAGCUUACAGAAAGAUGCACACGGGUAGGGACUAAGGCUUCCUGCCAAUAAUCAGGGAAGAAGUAAAGUCUCCUAAGAACAGCCCUAUGAGUGAGCCAUCUUCCUGCCCCAAACGAGCCUUCAGAUGACUACAGCCAGGCCAACGUCUUGUCUACAAUGUCAUCAUGACACAGUGAGUCAGGAUAGCCCUGCUAACUGGCUCCUGAAUUUCUGGCCCACAAACCUGUGGGAGGGAAUAGGUAUGGAAGGAUAUACAAGAAUUUCAAACAUUUAUUGAUUGUGCGAACAAUGAUUGCCUGCCAGACGUUAUCGGAGAGCACAUCUGUACAUACAUUUGCAGACCUGUUGUGCUGAUGGGGGUAAAGCUCCAAUGCAUGUACUACUGGAGACUGGUAUCUUCAGUUGCUCCCAGUGACCUGCACUCGCCAUCCAUUCAUGGUAAAGUAGUUAAUUUUAAUGUUCUCAUUGUUUACCAGAAAGCACAGACAGGGAGGCUGGCUUUGCCGCUCCCGUUUCCUUUUGCUAGGCUGCUGUGCUUUUUCAGCCAAUUGACUUUGCUUUGAGGCUAUAAAUAUCUGAAAAAUGUUCUGCAUUUGAUGCUCUUGGAUUCUGCAUCCAUAUUUAGCUGUUUGUGGCAUGCCUUUGUUUAAGCUACUCUGCCACCCAUAACAGUCAGUCAGUCAGGUUGGGAUAUGGAUGGUCAUAGGACAGAUGGAUCGACAUUCAACAGACACUGACUAUGAGCAAGGUACCAAUCUGCUAGACACAGUGACAAUGAAGGGGCUGGCAAGAUAGGAAUACAAAGACAAACUAGACAGACUUCCUGGUGUCAAACAUUUUAUAGUCUUGACAGGGCAUGGGCACAAUUUAUUAUAAUACUAUAAUAAACAAAUGAAACAUUUUAUAACUAAAAGGAAAUGAAGGAUAGGGCAGCAUAAAUAUGUUCUCUUAGUUAUGUCUCAAAGACAUGCAUUUGUGUUCUAAAUAUACAUCUACCUAUUAUAAGGCUCUGACAUAUUCCAGACAAAGUUUUCCAAUCCUGGCAAUACACAAAACUCCAAAUAGAAGUAUCAUUAACAAAAUAGUCAACAGCAAACUUAAAACAGUGCCUAGUCUUCAAAUUUCAUGAGGCAAACUAAUAAAAUAUUGUUUUCAAAAGUUUCUGUUAAGGCAUUAGGUGGGGGCGGGGAGGGGGGGACUGUUACUGCCAUUUGUUUGUUUGUUUGCAUAUUGAUUUCAAACAUAAGUACACUAUAGAGGAUGUGAACCAUAGCCAGAAGCCAGGAGCACUUAAUACAGCUCCUUCCUUACUUUGCACUUUUAAAAUCCACAUGGCUAUUUCAGGUUAGGGCUCAAAACUAGAUGAGCUACACCUGAGCAAGACCCCAUUCCCCACCUCCCUAUCUUGUCAAAACACUUCAAACAAAUAUACAUCUGCCCUCAACAUUCCUGCUUUACAAAACUAAGUUCAUUGACCUUUUGAUAAAAGUGCUCCCCAGAAGCCCGUGACAAUCAUGAU